Molecule: long non-coding RNA, 2003 nt
Organism: Oenanthe melanoleuca
Lineage: Eukaryota; Metazoa; Chordata; Aves; Passeriformes; Muscicapidae
Exons: 3
Source: RefSeq, a predicted model, not a curated record
CCUGCCCCAAAAGCCUGCAGAGCAAGCCAGAACCUUUGCACCUCGCGUCCGGACGGAGCCUCACUGCAGCCAGCAGCCAGCCCAACACCGGCCGGGUGGCAGGGGCCGCAGCUAUGCUGGCUGCCUCUCCCACCAGCUCCCCAGGCAACUGCAAACACCGCCUGAUCCUCAGCGUGGGAAGAUCUGAGACGCGAGAUUAGCGGGGAAGGAACUACAACCAGACAACAGCGUCUGCCCCGGCUACUGCCGUGCUAAAACACGCGCUCUGCUCUCCACAGCGUGUGGAUCUGGAGGUAACAUCUCCUGGAGGACAAUGGGUGACGGUGACAUGUCAAGUAAAAGGUCUCGCUGGCCGACAGAAGAAAGCUAAAUGUCCUUCCAGCUGUCAAACUCUGUCUGAGUACUGAGCGCUAGCCUGGGGCUGCCCUUUGUCCCACUGCACUUGGUCCUUUACAACUUAAGUGCACUGGGAGCUCACACCUGUGGCCCACCAGGCCUGGCCUGGGCAUUUCUCAGCACUGGAGGGACUGAGAACACUGAGUGAGCUGAGCUGAGGGACUCUUCUGAAUUUGUCAUCUCUUCAAAGCAGAGAGAGGUUUUGCUGUUUAGUAUUGUUCAUUUUUGUGCUGGGGAGUACUUUGUUUGUUAAAUAAAUAGUUUUUUUUCCACUUCUCUCUGGGGAAAUAUUUUCUCCGAACCAGCUGGGGGAGGGACUGCUUAAAUCUGUUUCCUAGAGGGACCCCAUUCAGAGGUUUCCUCCCAAAUUUACCCUAAACCAAGAUACUGAGAAUUGGUGGUGACAGAUUUUUUGAUAAAGAGUGUUGACACAGCUACUGCAGGAGCUCUGACUGAUACUCAGCAAUUACUUCUGCCCAUCCAAUCUCCAAAUCAAUCCAAUUUACUCCCCUCAGCUCUGCAAUCAGUUCUCCCACUAGCCUUUUACACUUCCCCCAAUCAAUGUGCCUGCUGUUUCCUUCUCUUUGCAAGGAGGCUGCAGGUACAGCCAAGCAGCUUUAUUUCCCUCAUUCUGGAAGAAGGGAGUGAUAGAUACAUGAAUUAUUCUUUAUCUCUUGACCAUUUCAGUAGUUUUUCCAAAAUAGAAGUUUUUAGUUUUCUUUUUGUCUGUUUCAGAUAGUUCUUUUCCCACAAAGAAAAAAGAAUUCUUUCCUGUGACAGAUGUGCCUUCUGGGUGGUUAGAAACAGAUUAACAGCAUAGAAACAGAUUAAUAGCAUGGUUCCUGAACCAUGCACACUUUUGGCAUGGAGAACUACACUGAAUUAAGAAGUGUCUCAUAGACAUAGUGUCUUCCCUAUGAAGACAAUGGAAAAUCAGACUCUAUUGUAAUGCUUCAAUUUCUAUGCAGAGUUUUUAAAGAUUUUGCUGUAAGAUUUUUACCCUUCUGAAUUUUACAACUUUGCAAAAAAGAAAAGACUGUCAAGUGUGCAACAACUGCAACUUACUUAAAAUACAGAUCCUAGACAAGCUUUAAUCACAAAAUUUACACAUCAGGUUUAGGCUAGAAGGCAAGCAUGAAUAAAUCCUGUGGAAGUUGGAGAUACAGCAGAAACUCAGCAUCAAGCAUGGUUUUGACCCUGCAAUGUCAGACCACAAGGACAAUUAAGUUAAUUAAUACAAGCCUUUAUGGGCUCUCAUGCCGGUUCUUCCAGUCAGUCUGGGCGAGCGACCUUCACUUCACCAUUGCUUGAUGUUGAAAUGCUGAAACCAGUAUUUAAGCUUUUAUAUUAAGUACAUUUAUAUACAUACAUGUGAAUAUGUAUCCAUGCACGUGUGCAUGCACACACACAUAUACUUACUUAUGUAAGGAUUUCUUCAAGGAUUUCAAGGAAUGAAAAACUAAUCCAGCUGUCAAGCCAAAUACAUUUCUCAUUGGGAGAACCUGGCUAUCAUGUUUGGCUCAUCUCAUUUUUAUUGUGUUAUUUAAUGCAGGAUUGCAAGGUGUUAAAUACAAGUUAGAGCAAAUGGCAGACAUAGAAAAAAGGUU